CCUACGGGUGUCAGCAGUGGGGGAUAUUGCACAAUGGGGGAAACCCUGAUGCAGCGACGCCGCGUGAGUGAUGAAGUAUUUCGGUAUGUAAAGCUCUUUCAGCAGGGACGAAAAUGACAGUACCUGACCAAUAAGCCCCGGCUAACUACGUGCCAGCAGCCGCGGUAAUCCGUAGGGGGCAAGCGUUAUCCGGAUUUACUGGGUGUAAAGGGAGCGUAGACGGGUAUGUAAGUCUGAAGUGAAAGCCUGGGGCCGAACCCCGGGACUGCAUUUGAAACUGUGUAACUGGAGUGCUGGAGGGGAAGGCGGAAUGCUUGGUGUAGCGGUUAAAUGCGUAGAUAUCAGGAGGAACACCGACGGCGAAGGCGGCCUGCUGGACUGAAACUGACGUUGAGGCUCGAAAGCGUGGGGAGCAAACAGGAUUAGAUACCCCAGUAGUC
This 440-nucleotide ribosomal RNA is filed under the name uncultured bacterium. RNAcentral's name for it is "partial 16S ribosomal RNA". It matches the Rfam family "Bacterial small subunit ribosomal RNA", at positions 338 to 795 of the family's 1533-position model. The record is from RNAcentral.